Chelonoidis abingdonii (Abingdon island giant tortoise) is the source of this 790-nucleotide non-coding RNA. The record is from RefSeq and is a predicted model, not a curated record. NCBI's taxonomy places the organism in Eukaryota, Metazoa, Chordata, Testudines, Testudinidae.
UAUAUGUCUCUGGGUCCUCUUUGUUCCCCUUUUUAAAGCUGCAGAAGAGGUCUGGACUGAGAGGUGACUUGGGGGGAGGGCUUGGCCACAGUAACAGCAAACCAUUGAAGAACCAGGAACAAUAAGGAGGACUGGAGUGGAAGAGUCUCUGCAACCUGACAUAAGGUGUACCCUGGGGAGUGACUGCAUGUGACUGCUAUGGUUGGAAUGAAGAGUUCUCUACUCAUCAGUAUGACUGUGACUCCCACUAUAUUAGGGGAGGGAUGCAAGGUUCAAAAUUCAGACCCAGAAUCAUCUCUUCUGCAGACUAUACUUUAUCUCUUGUGAUGUUUUCCCUUAGGCUAAAGAGGAGUCAGGAAGUCCUUGUGUUUCUUGAGGAGCAAUCAGAAUCUGACAGCACAGGCUGACAAAGAAUGUGAUGCUCCAGAGACUUCCAUGAAGAGCUGUUGUCUCCCACUGUUCUUGUUGGGGCUGAAGGAACAGGUUGCUUUCAGAUGGCCCUUUUGAGAAGAACAUUUCUUGUGAUAAAUCAGCUGAGCAAGUGAUUGGUUAGCAGAAGUCAGAUUCUGUUCUUUUUCUUCUGCUGUGGAGGGUGAUAAUUGGCCAGCAGGGGAAGAUUUAAUGGCCGUUAGCAGGAGUGGGUCUCAGAGACAGAGUGUUUGAGGCCCUGAGAAGAGCAUCAUACUUGAAGGCAGUUAGAGAGUUGUACUGAGACCCUUAGUGGCUGAAGUGUCUGGAAGCUUCCAGCAUGACUUUGUUCACCCUUUAAUUAAGUUUGUCUACCAGGUGA